Molecule: ribosomal RNA, 1206 nt
Filed under: Triticum aestivum (bread wheat)
Lineage: Eukaryota; Viridiplantae; Streptophyta; Magnoliopsida; Poales; Poaceae
Description: partial small subunit ribosomal RNA
Source: RNAcentral
AUGGCUGGCGGCGGCGCUGGAUCCGUGGUGAACGGGACGGCACUCAGGCGCGACCGCGUCGCCGUCCCCGCCCCCCUCCCUGACGAGGUCGUCCAGUGGGAAAUCCUCGUCCGCGUGCCGGCGAAGGAGCUCCUCCGCUGCCGCGCGGCCUGCCGCUCCUGGCGCCGCCUCGCCUCCGACGCCGCGUUCCUGAUGGCCCACCACCGCCGCCAGCCAUCGCUCCCGCUGGUCUUCUUCCGCACCAGGAGUAACGACUACGCCGCCCACGCCGUGGUUGAUGCCUUGGAUAUCCGGCGAACCCCCGCCGCUCGCCGGCCCGUGCUCGGGUUCGACGACUACAACAAAUCUCGCCGUAGCUUCACCAUCCACGCCUCCUGCGACGGCCUCCUCCUCCUUUCCCUCUCCAACCACCGCUUCUACAUCUGCAACCCGGCGACGCGCCAGUGGCUCCAGCUCCCGGAUCUGACCGGCGGCAGUGUCGCGGCCCUGUACCCUCACCGCCCGUCGGGCGACUACCGUGUCCUCUUCUGGAAGCAUCCAGACAACAAGAGUUGCAGGGUUGCCUACUACGUCCUCACCGUCAGCUCGUUGCAGGGACAACAGAGAUGCAUCGGGCUGCCAGUGGCCUCGCCAUCCAUGAACAAGGACAGAUCCUGGUGGCACCUUCAAGCCUCCGAGCGCCCGCCUCUCCUGCUACAUGACUGCCUACACUGGCAUGCUUUCAACAGCAAGAUUAUAAUUUUCGACACGGUGGCAGAGUCAUUCAGCUGGGUGCAAUCUCCCACAUCCACCAGCUCGGCACACCUGCUUCAGAUGGAUGGUAUGCUCGGCAUCGGCUGCAUAGAUACCGCUACCAUGACCGCGAAAGCUUGGGUGUUGGAGGACUAUGAGGCGGAAGUAUGGUCGUCAAAGUACCAGAUUGAAUUGCCGGAGGAGGAGAUGAUGGAAGAUGGUAAAUGUGUUCAGUGUCUAUACGGCAAGGUUGUGUCUGAGAACGGAGAUAUGCUGCUAAUCGGUCGCAUUUGUUGGUCCCUCUCCCUGUUUCACUGUGACAACAAGGGAGAGUUGAUCCAGAAAUUCCUAUGGGAGAACGUUGAUCCAAAGCUUCUCGGGAUCUCUUUCAAAGAGAGCCUAGUCAGGCAUCCGUUCUUCCAGAGGAAAGAUGACAGCCGUGUGAGGCUGCCACGUUUUCUCCGAGGGCUGUAG